GACGAACGCUGGCGGCGUGCCUAAUACAUGCAAGUAGAACGCUGAAGGAGGAGCUUGCUUCUCUGGAUGAGUUGCGAACGGGUGAGUAACGCGUAGGUAACCUGCCUGGUAGCGGGGGAUAACUAUUGGAAACGAUAGCUAAUACCGCAUAAUAGUAGAUGUCGCAUGACAUUUGCUUAAAAGGUGCAAUUGCAUCACUACCAGAUGGACCUGCGUUGUAUUAGCUAGUUGGUGAGGUAACGGCUCACCAAGGCAACGAUACAUAGCCGACCUGAGAGGGGGAUCGGCCACACUGGGACUGAGACACGGCCCAGACUCCUACGGGAGGCAGCAGUAGGGAAUCUUCGGCAAUGGACGGAAGGCUGACCGAGCAACGCCGCGUGAGUGAAGAAGGUUUUCGGAUCGUAAAGCUCUGUUGUAAGAGAAGAACGAGUGUGAGAGUGGAAAGUUCACACUGUGACGGUAUCUUACCAGAAAGGGACGGCUAACUACGUG
This 495-nucleotide ribosomal RNA is filed under the name uncultured bacterium. RNAcentral's name for it is "partial 16S ribosomal RNA". It matches the Rfam family "Bacterial small subunit ribosomal RNA", at positions 28 to 507 of the family's 1533-position model. The record is from RNAcentral.